RNAcentral lists this ribosomal RNA (305 nucleotides) under uncultured bacterium. RNAcentral's name for it is "bacterial SSU rRNA". It matches the Rfam family "Bacterial small subunit ribosomal RNA", at positions 334 to 656 of the family's 1533-position model. The record is from RNAcentral.
CAUGCCUACGGGACGCAGCAGUGGGGGAUAUUGCACAAUGGGGGAAACCCUGAUGCAGCGACGCCGCGUGUGGGAAGACGGUCCUCUGGAUUGUAAACCACUGUCCCCAGGGACGAAAAUGACGGUACCUGGGGAGGAAGCUCCGGCUAACUACGUGCCAGCAGCCGCGGUAAUACGGAGGAUGCGAGCGUUAUCCGGAUUUAUUGGGUUUAAAGGGUGCGCAGGCGGAGUUUUAAGUCAGCGGUCAAAUCGUGGGGCUCAACCCCAUCCAGCCGUUGAAACUGGGGAUCUAGAGUGUGCGAGAG